RNAcentral lists this ribosomal RNA (512 nucleotides) under uncultured bacterium. RNAcentral describes it as "bacterial SSU rRNA". It matches the Rfam family "Bacterial small subunit ribosomal RNA", at positions 791 to 1304 of the family's 1533-position model. The record is from RNAcentral.
UAGUCCACGCCGUAAACGAUGAGUGCUAGUUGUUGGCCCUUGAGGUCGGUGACGUAGCUAACGCGUUAAGCACUCCGCCUGGGGAGUACGGUCGCAAGAUUAAAACUCAAAGGAAUUGACGGGGACCCGCACAAGCGGUGGAGCAUGUGGUUUAAUUCGAGGCAACGCGAAGAACCUUACCAGUCCUUGACAUCCUAAUCGCGAAAAGCAGAGAUGCUUUUCUUCAGUUCGGCUGGAUUAGUGACAGGUGCUGCAUGGUUAUCGUCAGCUCGUGUCGUGAGAUGUUGGGUUAAGUCCCGCAACGAGCGCAACCCCCAUUUUUAUUUGCCAGCGAUUCGGUCGGGAACUAUAAGGAAACUGCCAGUGAUAAACUGGAGGAAGGUGGGGACGAUGUCAAGUCAUCAUGGCCCUUACGGGUUGGGCUACACGCGUGCUACAAUGGUAUCUACAAAGGGAAGCAAGACGGCGACGUGGAGCAAAUCCCAAAAAGNUAUCUCAGUUCGGAUUGCUCU